Molecule: ribosomal RNA, 597 nt
Filed under: Natronorubrum aibiense
Lineage: Archaea; Methanobacteriati; Methanobacteriota; Halobacteria; Halobacteriales; Natrialbaceae
Description: bacterial SSU rRNA
Rfam family: Archaeal small subunit ribosomal RNA
Source: RNAcentral
UCCGGCGCCAUAGGAUGUGGCUGCGGCCGAUUAGGUAGACGGUGGGGUAACGGCCCACCGUGCCAAUAAUCGGUACGGGUUGUGAGAGCAAGAGCCCGGAGACGGUAUCUGAGACAAGAUACCGGGCCCUACGGGGCGCAGCAGGCGCGAAACCUUUACACUGCACGCCAGUGCGAUAAGGGGACUCCGAGUGCGAGGGCAUAUAGUCCUCGCUUUUUGUAACCGUAGGAAGGUUACAGAAUAAGUGCUGGGCAAGACCGGUGCCAGCCGCCGCGGUAAUACCGGCAGCACGAGUGAUGACCGCUAUUAUUGGGCCCUAAAGCGUCCGUAGCUGGCCGCGCAAGUCUAUCGGGAAAUCCGCACGCCUAACGUGCGGGCGUCCGGUGGAAACUGCGCGGCUUGGGACCGGAAGAUCCAGAGGGUACGUCUCGGGGUAGGAGUGAAAUCCCGUAAUCCUGGACGGACCNCCGGUGGCGAAAGCGCUCUGGAAAGACGGAUCCGACGGUGAGGGACGAAAGCUCGGGUCACGAACCGGAUUAGAUACCCGGGUAGUCCGAGCUGUAAACGAUGUCUGCUAGGUGUGUCACAGACUACGAG